GAGUUUGAUCUUGGCUCAGGACGAACGCUGGCGGCGUGCUUAACACAUGCAAGUCAAGGGGGCCCAGCAAUGGGCAACCGGCGAACGGGUGCGUAACACGUGAGCAACCUACCGAACUGUGGGGGAUAGCCGGCCUAACGGCCGAGUAAUACCGCAUACGCUCUCAGAGAGGCAUUUCAUUGAGAGGAAACCUACGGGACAGAUCGAGGGGCUCGCGGCCUAUCAGCUAGUUGGCGAGGUAACGGCUCACCAAGGCAACGACGGGUAGCUGGUCUGAGAGGAUGGCCAGCCACAUUGGGACUGAGAUACGGCCCAGACUCCUACGGGAGGCAGCAGUGGGGAAUCUUGCGCAAUGGCCUAACGGCUGACGCAGCGACGCCGCGUGUGGGAUGAAGCUCCUCGGAGUGUAAACCACUGUUGCCCGGGACGGACAGCUCGAUUAGUCGAGCCUGACGGUACCGGGUGAGGAAGCACCGGCUAACUCCGUGCCAGCCGCCGCCGUAAG
This 505-nucleotide ribosomal RNA is filed under the name uncultured bacterium. RNAcentral describes it as "bacterial SSU rRNA". It matches the Rfam family "Bacterial small subunit ribosomal RNA", at positions 9 to 524 of the family's 1533-position model. The record is from RNAcentral.